This 456-nucleotide ribosomal RNA is filed under the name uncultured Methylomirabilota bacterium. RNAcentral describes it as "bacterial SSU rRNA". It matches the Rfam family "Bacterial small subunit ribosomal RNA", at positions 977 to 1435 of the family's 1533-position model. The record is from RNAcentral. Lineage: Bacteria; Methylomirabilota (SeqCode).
GGGCUUGACAUCCCACGAACCUGAAAGGGAAGGGAGCCCGCAAGGGAAGCCGGCACAGGUGGUGCAUGGCUGUCGUCAGCUCGUGUCGUGAGAUGUUGGGUUAAGUCCCGCAACGAGCGCAACCCUCACCCUCUGUUGCCAUCGGGUCAUGCCGGGCACUCUGAGGGAACUGCCCCGGUCAACGGGGAGGAAGGCGGGGACGACGUCAAGUCAUCAUGCCCCUUACGCCCUGGGCUACACACGUGCUACAAUGGCCGGUACAGAGGGCUGCAAACCCGCGAGGGGGAGCUAAUCCCACAAAGCCGGUCUAAGUUCGGAUUGCAGGCUGCAACUCGCCUGCAUGAAGGAGGAAUCGCUAGUAAUCGCGCAUCAGCACGGCGCGGUGAAUACGUUCCCGGGCCUUGUACACACCGCCCGUCACACCACGAAAGCCGGCUGUACUCGAAGUCGCUGAGA